UACGGAGGGGGCAAGCGUUAUUCGGAAUUAUUGGGCGUAAAGGGCGCGUAGGCGGCUAGAUGUGUCAAAGGUGAAAUCCCUCGGCUCAACUGAGGAACUGCCUUUGAAACUGUCUGGCUAGAGUCCGGAAGAGGAGAGUGGAAUUCCUGGUGUAGCGGUGAAAUGCGCAGAUAUCAGGAAGAACACCCGUGGCGAAGGCGGCUCUCUGGGACGGUACUGACGCUGAGACGCGAAAGCGUGGGGAGCGAACAGG
This 253-nucleotide ribosomal RNA is filed under the name uncultured bacterium. RNAcentral describes it as "partial 16S ribosomal RNA". It matches the Rfam family "Bacterial small subunit ribosomal RNA", at positions 524 to 776 of the family's 1533-position model. The record is from RNAcentral.